AACACGCCCUGCACGGCUGCACCACCGCCGCCCACACCCACCGUUCGCCGCAGCCCGCUGUCCAUUCUAAUCCACCUCGCCGUCUCCACUCCUGCCGAAGCGGCUCUCGGCCUGGGUCUUCGCUCUCUAGCGGCUGCUUGCAAGUGCGGCGGCGGCGGCGCAGCACCACGCCGCCCUCUUCCUCAACCUCUCUUCUAGGGGAGACGCACAGCGGCGGCAGCGGCAGAUGGAGCAGUACCACGACGUUAUCUCCACCAACUUAUUCCUAGGGAAGGCGCCCAUCGGCGGCGAUGGAACCCGGGAUGAUGGGGGCGCCGUCCGCACCGGAGCGACGUCGCGCCGCACAACUCGGUGUGGGGCAGCGGUGGUGCCCGCGAAGAAGACGCGGUCGGGGCGGAGGCUUGGACCAUGAUGAUGUCGCCGAUGCCAUCUCUACGACGGACUACACCACCACGGUGACUACGUGCAACGACCACGGGAUGAGCUCCAUCACGGUGAACUGCUCCGUGCUUUUUACUGAAUUUACCACCACAAAAAUUCCAAAGCAUCACUGAAUGGUGAUUUUACUAAACUUUACGACUACAAAAAUUCCAAAGCAUCAUUGGCUGAUGACAAAUGUGAUUCUUGGCAUGCAUGUACCGUACAAACUUACACUUACUGAUUGAAAGUGCAUGAGCUAUUUACUUUAUGUGGGCCAAUUAGUAUCUUCUAUUUGAAAGUUGGUCUGCAUAAACAUUGAAAUUUGUUUGGGGAAUUCUCUGUACUAUAUUGCACAUGUAUUUAUUUAAGUUUCCUGCCAUAAAAAAAAAUCCUAAUUGCACUUCCAAGAGGUGCCGCAUCAUGACAUAUUAUGGUGUUCCUGUACUAUAGUGUCUGUGAGCUGCCAAUGAUGGUACAAUGCUUAUGCUUCUGAGUUAUUAGUGCAAUAUGUAAGGAGCUAAAGACAUAGUUCCUUUUUGUUCUUAUGGUUAAAAUCGACUUUGUGAAUUUUCCGUUGUCCCGGGAAUACAUUGUUUUAUUCAUCAGAUGUGGCUUUGCCAUGCACCUAGAAGGGCAUCGAGGAGGGAUAAUUAGUGCAUGAAUUGUGCUGGUUUUGGAACAUCUCUUUGGUAAUAUUAAGGUGAAUACAUAAUUUAAGUAAUUCUUAUUAUGAUUACUCUGUUAAUUCUAUAGUAUGUACGACUUUGCCAUCUGUCUUUUUUCUGUAUAGUAGACUAUAGAUGAACUGUUGUCAGCCCCAUAAUAUCCAUCUGUGGUAAUGCUUCGCUUAGAUAGCUUUCUUGGUAAACAUAGCAUGUCUGUUUAUGGAGCUUAUUUGGGUGCUAAUUUUAGUUCACCCUCCAAAUUGUGUAUUGGUAGAGCUUUUUAUGACUUACCACAUUAUAACUCCACAUCCCUCCCUUGAGGGACUAUAUCUCUACAUCUCAUGUCUUGCUGUAAGAUGUAGUGUGAACCAGUCACCUUGAGAUUUCUAACCAUAGUUGAUGGUGUAAAUAUCUAUAUCAUAUUUAUGGGAAUUACUUUGACUCUAAUAUGAUAAGAUGGUAUCUUAUGGAAAGAACAAACACUCACUCAAGUAUUUUGGUAUCUGCAUUCAGAUUUACACAAGAUUUUGCUGGCUUCAGUUUAUUGAAUACCAUAGUUGAUGUUUCCUUUCUAGAACAGUCACUCCAAAGUAUUUAUUUUGGUAUUAGCAUUCAGUUUAUGCAACUCUGAUAUGCUUAGGUGGACUUAUAAUUCCUAAGACUGUAGCUGAUAUUAUCUUACUGAAAUAAGAUGGAAGAAGUGACCUAACACUAAUAAGUUUGAGCUGGUGUAGGUUUUUGUAAGAACGUAGUUGAUCGUGCCUUCCUAUUAUACGAGUUUGUUUUGUCCAGUAAGAUUUAAAAGAGAUAUGGAGAACCUCCACAUAUUUUUACCUGGCUAAACAACAGAUACUCAAUGAUGACUAAUAAUUUGCUCAAACAAAUUGUUUGUAAUUGAAUAUUCUCGUGAUCGCUUAUGGUGACUCUGGUGUGUUUGAUACGACGUUGACGCAGAGGAUCCCCAACCUCGCCAAGCAGGUGGACACUUUUACGAAGAUGGUUCAAGAUGGGACAAUUUCAGAGCAGCAACUCAGUCCCUCCGUGGCACUCAUGGCUAUCUCGGGCAGCGACUACUACGCAAGCGCCGGCAUGACUGGCCUGGCUUGGCUACCCCCAACGAUAUCAAUACUUAUAUCAAGAAGGUGUUGCGGCUAAUGUGGAGCAACUGCAGAAGCUUGGAGUGAAAAAGGUUCUUGUGAAGAACUUGCACCUUGUCGGCUGCACACCAUCGCAAACACGAACCAACAAUUACACGGCCUGCGAUGUCUUUGGAAAUUUUGGUGCAUCCAUCCAUAACAAUAACCUAAAACAAGUGAUGGCAGCAAAGAAAAAUGUCAACGUUGUCAACCUAUACACCACCUUCACUAAUAUUGUGGAUAAUACGCCGGGCCAAGGACAAGAGCUAUCCAAGCAAUUCAAGCGCAACUUGUCGCCGUGCUGUGAGAGUUUUGAUUCAAAGGGUUACUGCAGACAACAAAGCGAGUCAUCGGAGCUUCUUUACCGUGUGUUUGCGACAAGUCUAGCAAAUUUUUCUACUGGGGUGCCAUCAUAGAUUAAAAUAGCCCGCGAAAUAGCUGCGCUAUAGCUGCCCGGGAGCCUUGCCGCUAUGCUAUGGCUGCUGCCGCGAAAUCCUCCACAUAUCCCUAUAAAUGGCUCAACAAUCAACAAAUCCCUCCAGAA
Triticum aestivum (bread wheat) is the source of this 2765-nucleotide long non-coding RNA. RefSeq lists it as uncharacterized. The transcript is spliced from 4 exons. NCBI's taxonomy places the organism in Eukaryota, Viridiplantae, Streptophyta, Magnoliopsida, Poales, Poaceae. The record is from RefSeq and is a predicted model, not a curated record.